This 873-nucleotide long non-coding RNA is filed under the name Fukomys damarensis (Damara mole-rat). RNAcentral describes it as "lncRNA (ENSFDAG00000024400.1)". Lineage: Eukaryota; Metazoa; Chordata; Mammalia; Rodentia; Bathyergidae. The record is from RNAcentral.
GUAAACUUUCAAAACCUAGACUUGCCACUUAUGAGCUAGCAAGAGUUUGAGUUGUACAACCUCUCUGAGCAUCAGUUUUUGUGCCUGUGAAAUGGAAUAAUACCUACCUUAUGAAUCUAGUCGCAUGCUGGAUACAGAGAGAGCCUUUAAUACUAGGAUGCUGAAAAACACACAAACUGUAUAGUUCCAAUAUGCCAUCCAAGUACCCUACCACCAAAGUGCUGAAAACUUGAUUUGUAUGAGGAUCUUGCUAUAGUUUUGUUCAAGUAUUUGUAUAAGUAUAUUCUCUGGAUUUAAGGAAACAUACACAAAUGACAAACAUAUCAUCAGCUUUUUUCAGUUGCAGCAGAAGCCACUGUAUGAGCCACUGACAGAGGGCAUCACAAGAAUGAAGUGAGUCCACUUGCAGAGCUCAUGGGACCUGGAGGGGAGGCAGCUCCAGUGCCCCAUUGCUAUGAGAGAAUUGAGCAUCAUGAAAUGGAUCACACUGAUAGCAGGACAGAGCUGUUUCUUGCUGGCUGUUUCUGUACUCCUCAAUCCCCUAUCUCAACUGCCAAGAAGCAUACACCUCUGAGACCACAACUAGAAGGGAGGCAAGGUGGGGGACACGUGUGGAAGGAAACGAGGAAUGGACUGAAAACAGAAGACUAUCACACUUCUUGUCAUCGUGGCUUCCCAGCAACCUACCAUGUUCUCACUCCAGCAAUGGCAGCUGAGGGAAGAUGCAUUCCGGGAGCAAGACUGCUCUGCCCAACCACUCCUCGGUCUCACCUUUCUAAUCUGUCAGAUCCAAACAAUAUCAUGUGCCUCAUAAAGACCCCACCCCACCUUCCUUUUUUACAAAAUCAAAUACUGACUCCUCGUUGUUUCUAA